This is an RNA transcript of Pongo pygmaeus (Bornean orangutan), 6607 nucleotides long. It is a transcript of the gene named sphingosine-1-phosphate receptor 1, with no coding region annotated. The transcript is spliced from 3 exons. The record is from RefSeq and is a predicted model, not a curated record. Lineage: Eukaryota; Metazoa; Chordata; Mammalia; Primates; Hominidae.
AUUCUGCCUCCUUCUGAGUCAUUCAGGUACAGGGUGUGUCUGCCAAUUGAAACUGCACAGCGGAGGAAGUUUUUGAGUUCACAUCUGCCGGGAUGGGAAAGCAGUGCAACCAGGGACUGGGUGGAAACUUUUACAACAGUAAUGCAAGGGCAGAAGCGUCCUGAGCUUGUCACGCAGGCAGAUCUGACCAAGCCCGCCUCUCAGCCUCACGUUCUUAAGUAGCAUCUAAGCAAAAGAAAAGGGUGGGCAAAGUGCUAGUAAUGAGAUUUGAGGCCUCUGAGUCGACUCCCAAGUAGAAUGUGAGAGAAGGGUGCCGGCUUCUGCUGGGCAGCUGCAGUUGCUCAGCAGCUCCUGGCCGAGAAUCUUCGCCUUUGGAAAUUCCGGAGCUGCCCAGGCGUUUUGAAUCUCUCAGGACUCAGCAGCAGCCCACCUCCUCAACGACCUCUCCAUUGGCCAGAAUCUGGGACACACAGCCUGACUUUGUGCUCAGCUGAGGGAAACCCCUCGCCGAACACCAAAACCGGCGCUGGUUCAUUUCUCUGUGCACUCUGGGAAAGCCACUGCCCCUCAGACCGCAGUUUCGAGGAGCACCAGGAUCUGGGGUGCCGGGGGGAGUACAGGAAUCUCCCGGUCCAUUCUCCCUCCCGGGUUGCUUGUCUCCUCCGUACCUCUCGCAGCCCCUUCCCAGCCUCUCCUCCCCAGAGCGCCGCCGACACUCGCCGGGUCGCGGCUCAGGUUUUCUGCUGCCCGCGCGAAAGUGGCUCGGGGAGCUCCUGGCCACAAGCUCAGCACAUCGAUCCUCCUAGGGCUGCGGGGGGUGUGGGACCAGGGCGGUGCGCUACGAGACUCCGGGCCGUCCUCUGCCCACUCAGACUUUUCGAGAGAAAAGUUUCAAAAGUCUCUCCACCUCCUUUUUUUACAGGGGCUCGGGAGAAUCCUCUCCACCGCCAGAGAUCAGCGUCUAUCCGGGCGAGGGCAGUGAUUUAUACAGUAGAAUCCAGGGGUUACCGGGCUCCGCCCCUUCUCUCUCUCUCUCUUUUUUUCUUUCAUUUGUUGUUUGGGGAGGAGGGGUUCUUCUUCUUUUUUUUUUUUUUGCUUCUGCCCCAGAUCUUUCCUGGACAGUGCGUCUCAGCAGUUCAGAUCCGGGGGCCCCCAGCUGGCAGAGGGCGUGGGGGGUUAAGGCAUUAACCCCUCCCAGCCUCUUCCUGAAGAAACCACUCAGCCUUGGCGCGGCGCUGGGUGACUUCGCGUAGCAGGCAGGGAACUGGCCGCGGCGAGCGGGACUGGCCAUUGGAGUGCUCCGCUGCGGAGGGAGGGGACCCCGACUCGAGUAAGUUUGCAAGAGCACUACGCAGUCAGUCGGGGGCAGCAGCAAGAUGAGGAGCGAGCCGUACAGAUCCGGGGCUCUCCGAAUGCAACUUCGCCCUGCUUGAGCGAGGAAGAGAAACUUCAAUAAGUUAACACUGAAGAGUAGUAAAGAAUGAGAUAAAAACCACCAACCUUCUGAAUACCACAUUGGCUAGACACUGCCUUGGCUUCUCCCAGCCUAUCUUCUGAACCACAUAGAAGUAUACAGUAUCAGUGAAGCAGCUAGCUGUAAAAUGUGGGCUGAGUAGCAUAACACUUUUAUCUGAAAACCUUCAAUUCAUAGUAUCUGAAAGCAUUAACAUUCUCAGUCAUUAAUUUUUCCAACUACAAAAUGAAAGCACUUUGCAAGCAUCACAGACUUAUUGUAAUAGUUAAUUCUUGUUUCUGAUUAUUGUCAUCUUUUGGGGGAUUAAAGUAUUUUGGCAUGUUUGGCUCUCUAAUCUUAUUGCUACUUUCAGAAUUUGUGCUUUCAAGUGUCAUUGAAUAUGCACAGGACACAGUUGGGACAUGAAGAUAAACCUCACCUAAUACAGUAGAUGUCAUUUCUGGGUAAGGUUAACUGUGGGAAACAGAAAUGUGUUCACUAAGGAAACCUUAGGUCACAACCUCCAGUUUCCUGAAGGAAAUGCCAAAAAUGCUCCAAAGACAAAAGGCCGGAAACAAACUGGAAUGUCUCUCUCCAUCUGUCUGCUAAGGCGGAAGGAAUGAUUUCAUGUUACAUUCACUUCCUAGACUUUCAUUACAGAGUCAAGCAUAAUGGAAAAGUAUGUCCAUUUUGUGUUUCUGUGGAAGAUAAAAUGUUCAUAUUCUCAGACUUAUCUUCAUAAGCACAGUAGUGAUUCAUGAUAUGGGGAAAGAUGGGAUAGGGUGGCUGGCUUUGGGAGAUGGGGAGCUCUUUGGUGACACUUUUCCCCCUGUGAACACAUUAUCCAGUGAUUAGAUGUACUUUCUUCCUGGAAACUCCAGACUGUGCAUUUCAUUCCAAGAAAGCUGGGUAGUCAUGGACUGUGGUUUUCCUGGGCACAUGUGUGGUAGAGCCCCUGAUCAGACCAAGAAGCAAAGACUUAAGAAGAAGGAAUCCUUGGUUGUCUCUCAACGUGAAUAUAUGGUUUUAAUUCAGUGUAUUCUCAGAAGUAAGAAUGAGGAAAAAACCUUAGUAAUUAUAUGUUUGUACUAAAAAAUACACAUAUAAGGCUUUGAUUUUAAAAUUGUAGUGUUUUUCAAGAGGAGUGAAACAGAUCCUGGACAAUACUUGACAUAUUCUUGUAAAAAGUUCAAUUGACUCAAAAUAGUCAUGAAAAUUGUGAAGUAACAUCAUAUAAUACUUUAUCCCCAACAAUAUUAAAUGUGAUUACAAUUUUACAGAAUAUUCAAAUCAAGAUGUUAUAUAAGACAAAUUAUUAUUCUUGCUUUUACAUCUCCUUAGAAGGAUAAACAUUUAAUUGUUUUAAAAAUGUUUUAUUUAUGUUUUAGAAAUGAGGUGUCGCCUUCUUGCCCAGGCUAGUAUGCAGUGGCACAAUCAUAGCUCACUGCAGCCUUGAAUUCUUGGGCUCAAGUGAUCUUCCCGCCCCAAGCCUCCCAAGUAGCUGGGACCACAGGCACGUGCCACCAUGCCUGGCUAAUUUUUUUUUUUUUUAAUGUUUUGUAGAGACAGGAUCUCAGUAUGUUGCCCAGGCUGGUCUUUAAUUCCUGGGCUCAAGUGAUCCUCCCACAGAUUUGUCUGUGUUUUCUCUAAAUAGGUUAUAAAUACCUUGAGGGAGGAAUCACAAAUAACUAAAAGAAACUUCUGUAGAGACUAUCAGAGUAUUAUUUCCCUGUGGACACAGUAAAUGUAUGAUGAUGAGAAAUCAUAAUAAACUACAACAUUUUCUCUGCCCUUCCUUCCUGCUGUUUUGACGUAUACUUCACAUGGUCCAAGAAAAGGGACUCAAAAUACUUUUUAGCAUACACCAUUGCCUUCACUGCAAUGCUAAUUGGAACUCGAGUUGUCUCUCAGAACAUUCAAGCAAGCAAGGUUUACUUGCAUAACUAAAGGCCUUAUAUGGAUUAUCUAUAAAGAAAGAGGAUUUUAAACCAGUGGUUUAAAAACCUAGGAGAGAUAGGAGGAAGAGCAUAGUGAGGGGUUAGACCUGCAUUUAUUUCUGUCACACACAAUCUUUGACAAGAACCGGGACCCAGAGUAGUUUGGGUUCAUGUUGAAGAUAUCUCUCCUAAUACAUCCGAUCUCUUGUUCCCUACACUUUCUUCUUGGAUUCAGACUCUCAAGUAAUUUCUGUUUUUCCCAUGCUUUCUUUUUUAUCCCUUUGAGGACUAAAGGAUUAAAAAAUUAGACUUAGCUCUGGUUAUAGUCAUUAGCAAGAGCCAAGUGUGGACUGCAGACUUGAGUGAACAGGAAUUGCUACAUUUUAUGUAAUCCAACCUUGAUAUAUGAAGUAUCUUCAUAUAUCCAACCAGAAGCUUCCAUAUCAGUAAUGGAUAAAUACACCAUGGUAAAUUAAUACAAUGGAAUAUUAUUCAGCAACGAAAAAGGACCUACUACUAAUCUUGCAACCAUUUUCAUGAAUCUUAAACCUCGUAUGCAACCACAAAAGAGAACAUACAUCAUGAUUUCAUUUAUGUAAAACUUCCAGAAUAGGCAAAACUAAUAGAUGGAGAUAUAAAUCUGAACAGUGGUUGCCUGGGGUAAGAGGAUAAACUGGAAAGGAACAAGAGGGAACUUUCUAGGUUGUUAGCAAUGCUCUUUAUCUUAAUUUUUAGGACCUUGUUCACUCAGAUGUGCGUAUUUGUCUAAACUUAUGUAAUCAUAUUCUUAAGACCAGUGAAAUUUAAAAAUAACAAUAUGCUAGACUUUCACUUCUGAGUAUAAGGACUAUAUGAGACUUUCUCUGUGAAAUUGUGGGAAGGUUCCAUGAAGUUCAGUAGAAAGUGGCAGCUGCGCACAGUGGCUCCCGCCUGUAGUCCCAGCACUUUGGGAGGCCGAAGCAGGAGGAUAGCUUUGAGCUCAGGAGUUCAAGAUUAGCCUGGGCAACAUGGCAACACCCGUUUCUACAAAAAAUACAAAAAAAAUUAGCUGAGCAUGAUGGCUCACACCUGUAGUCCCAGCUAUUUGGAUGGCUGAGUCUGGAGAAUCACUUGAGUCCAGGAAGUGGAGGUUGCAGUGAGCCGAGAUCCAGCCACUGCAUUCCAACUCCAGCCUGGGUGACAGAGUGAGAUCCUGUCUCAAAAAAAAAAAAAAAAAAAAAAAAAGAAUGUGGAAAAGGUUCGAAAGUGUUUCAUAAAAGGGAAAUAUGCUACCCAGAAAUAAAACUUUAGAAUGCUAAAUAAUUGUGACAUGAUGAUACUCUGCUUCCAUAGGAUGCGAAUUUGACUUAUUAUUGGUAUUUGUAAUCCCCGAAGAGUUUCUGUGUCUUGAAAGAGUCUAGAGAUGUAAUGAAACUGUCACAAUAAAAGUUUAUUGAUAUUUGCAUUUCAGUUUUAGGAAUAUAUGUUGGGUUGUAAAUAGCCUUAUGAAGAAUGGAACUUGUAUACAUUGCAAGGAUAUGUAAACAUAUUAGUAUUGGAGACAUACAAAUUGGAGUGUGCCAAUUUCUUAUCAUGGCCACCUGACCAAACCUAUAAAAGGCAUUCACUCAGAUAAUAACACUUGUCCUGGGUGUAAGCACUGCAUUGUUAGAAGAAAUAGGCAGAGACACAAAGGCUAUGGAAGACAAGCUUAUGUUCCUGUGUGUUUUGUUUUUCAAUAAUUUCAGCUUUUAUAUUAGAUUCAGAGGGUACAUGUGCAGGUUUGUUACAUUGGCAUAUUGCUGUGAUGUUGAGGUUUGGGGUGUGAAUGAUCCCAUCACUGUGGUAGUGAGCAUAGUACCCAACAAGUUGUUUAUUAGCCAUUGUCCCCCUCCUUCUCUUUCCCUUCUAGUAGACACCGGUGUCUAUUGUUCCCUUAUUUAUUUAUUUUAGAGGGUCUCACUCUGUUGUCCAUGCUGGAGGGGAGUGGUGUGACCAUAGCUCACUGCAGCCUGGAACUUCUAGGCUCAAGCAAUCCUCCCGUCUCAGCUUCCAGAGUAGCUGGGACUAUAGGUGCGUGCUACUGCACCUGGCUAAUUAUUUAUUUUUGUAGAGACAGGGUCUCACUUUAUUGCCUAGGCUGUUCCCACACUCCUUACCUCAAGCAGUCCUUCCACCUUGGUUAUCCAAACUGCUAGAAUUACAGGCGUGAGCCAUCAUAACCAGCCUGUUUCCAUCUCUAUGUCCACGUGUACCCAUGGUGUGAGUUUUAUAAGUUUGCAGCCAGACACAUUGUUACCUGCACUCCCCUGUCUGAGGGGUCUUUCUUUCAGCCAGCUCUGGGAGUAACUGGACAGAGAAGAAAUGCCUCAGGUGCUGCACUGCUCUUUGGACAGACUGAUUAGAUACAAAGCAGAAAUAGAAAGAGGAAAGAAGGGGCAUGGUUACCUGAGCUAACAAGGAGCAGGGAGACUUAGGAAAUUGUUUAUCCAUUUCCCUAGAGCUCUACUACUAUUAUUACUCCACUUUUCUGCUGCUUUGUUGAUACCAGGGCAGAAAGAAAAACCUUGGAAAAAGUUACUGGUGUGGGUCAUGCUUCCUCCUCCCGUUCCUUUUGAUAGGUCGGUAAACUCACCCACUCAUCCACUCAACAAGAAUGCUCGCCCUGUGCUCUGUGCUGUGGAUCUAGGGGCAAAUAUAAACAGAGGUUCUGCCUUCCUAGAGCUCACGGGAUCCAUUCCUUCAGCUCUGGCACUCCUGUGGCUCCCUCCCUUUGGGGUCCAGGGACCUUGAUAUGGCAAGACAAAAUUCUUUCUUUUUUUUCCUUUUUUGAGACGGAGUGUCACUCUGUCGCUCAGGCUGGAGUGCAGUGAUGCGAUCACGGCUCACUGCAACUUCUGCCUCUCAGGUUCAAGUAAUUUUCCUGCCUCAGCUUCGUGAGUAGCUGAGAUUACAGGCGUGUGCCACUAUGCCAGGCUAAUUUUUCUGUUUUUAGUAGAGACAGCGUUUCAACAUGUUGGCCAGUCUGGUCUCGAACUCCUGGGAUCAAGCGACCCACCUGCCUCGGCCUCUCAAAGUGCUGGGAUUAUAGACGUGCAUCACGGCACCCAGCCAAGAAACAGUUCUUUUUUUCCCAUGAGUUUGUUCAUUGUUGUACACUUCCUCUAAUAUAUUGAGUUCUUUAGCAGUGUAAAAUAAUUUCAUUUAACAAAUACAAUUAAUAUUGGCAGCUUUUCAU